Molecule: ribosomal RNA, 684 nt
Filed under: Bacillus thuringiensis
Lineage: Bacteria; Bacillati; Bacillota; Bacilli; Caryophanales; Bacillaceae
Description: bacterial SSU rRNA
Rfam family: Bacterial small subunit ribosomal RNA
Source: RNAcentral
GUUAGCGGCGGACGGGUGAGUAACACGUGGGUAACCUGCCCAUAAGACUGGGAUAACUCCGGGAAACCGGGGCUAAUACCGGAUAACAUUUUGAACCGCAUGGUUCGAAAUUGAAAGGCGGCUUCGGCUGUCACUUAUGGAUGGACCCGCGUCGCAUUAGCUAGUUGGUGAGGUAACGGCUCACCAAGGCAACGAUGCGUAGCCGACCUGAGAGGGUGAUCGGCCACACUGGGACUGAGACACGGCCCAGACUCCUACGGGAGGCAGCAGUAGGGAAUCUUCCGCAAUGGACGAAAGUCUGACGGAGCAACGCCGCGUGAGUGAUGAAGGCUUUCGGGUCGUAAAACUCUGUUGUUAGGGAAGAACAAGUGCUAGUUGAAUAAGCUGGCACCUUGACGGUACCUAACCAGAAAGCCACGGCUAACUACGUGCCAGCAGCCGCGGUAAUACGUAGGUGGCAAGCGUUAUCCGGAAUUAUUGGGCGUAAAGCGCGCGCAGGUGGUUUCUUAAGUCUGAUGUGAAAGCCCCACGGCUCAACCCGUGGAGGUCAUUGGAAACUGGGAGACUUGAGUGCAGAAGAGGAAAGUGGAAUUCCAUGUGUAGCGGUGAAAUGCGUAGAGAUAUGGAGAACACCAGUGGCGAAGGCGACUUUCUGGUCUGUAACUGACACUGAGGCGCGAAAGC